This 1499-nucleotide long non-coding RNA is filed under the name Homo sapiens (human). Its description in RNAcentral is "non-protein coding RASSF8-AS1:30". The record is from RNAcentral. Lineage: Eukaryota; Metazoa; Chordata; Mammalia; Primates; Hominidae.
AGUCCGCGGCUUGUGUGCCGCGAGGAGAGGCGCAAAGGGUGACACACCAGGAAAGCAGGUAGCAGGCAAGAGUGUGGUUAUCGUUGGACCAGGAUUCAGGAUCUGACUGAGUAGCUGACUCUUAAUCCAGUUUGUGUUGAUCACCAGGAGGAUCUGGACCUCAGUAUUACCACAUCUAGAGGUGAUAUGCCAACUCCACCUUUGCCUUCCACCAUGUUUGGAAGCUCCCUGAGGCCUCACCAGGAGCAGAUGCUCGUCCCAUGCUUCCUAUAAGCCUGCAGAACUGGAAAAGAAAGCUGGAUAAAGUAUUUAUAGAAGAUAGAGGACCUGUGGUGGCUCAUGCCUGUAAUCCAAGGUGGAAGGAUUGCUUGAGGCCAGAAGUUCAAGACCAGUCCAAGCAACAUAGCAAGGCCCCAUCUCUACAAAAAAUGAAAAUAAAAUUAGCCGAGCGUGAUGGCUCAUGCCUGUAGUUCUAGCUUCUAGAGAGGCUGAGGCAGGAGGAUUGCUUGAGUCCAGGAGUUCAAGAUUACAGUGAGCUAUGGUCACACCACUGCACUCCAGCCUGGGUGAUGGAGUGAGACUGUCUCAAUAAAAAGACAAAAAGGUAAGCCCUUAGGUAAAGUAAGCUUGCUUCUUUGUUAGAGCUAUCCAUGCUGAGUCCAGGCAAAGAAAAUGCUUUCUUUGGCCUGGUGCGGUGGCUCAUGCCUGUAAUCCCAACACUUUUGGAGGCCAAGGUGGGCAGAUCACAAGGUCAAGAGUUCAAGAUGAGCCUGACCAACAUGGUGAAGCCCCAUCUCUACUAAAAAUACAAAAAUUAGCCAGGUGUGGUGGUGCGCACCUGUAAUCCCAGCUAUUCAGGAGGCUGAGGCAAGAGAAUCACUUGAACCCAGGAGGCAGAGGUUGCAGUGAGCUGAGAUUGCACCUUUGCACUCUCACUCUGGCCUGGGCAAUAGAGCAAGACUCCAUCUCAAAAAAAAAAAAAAAAGAAAAAAGAAAAUGCUUUCUUUGCACAGUUCAGUAAUGAGCUCUGCCCCGAACUCAGUAAUUUUAGCAAAGAAACAGUAGCUAAGUUAAGAAGACCGCCUAUUGAACUAAGUUGGUCUCCAAAAUGUACCUUUCUGGCAUUUAGAUGGCUACUUUGAAACCCUUUUGUAAAUGAAAUUUACAUCUAUAAAGGAAAUCGCCAUCUGUAAGGGCAUCUACACUGAGAAGAGGGUGGACUGGGUCACUAGAAACUCUUACCACUGAUCUAACAUAAAUCUUACCAUUGUUUAAGGUGCUUUUCCUUGCCAUCUUGUCUUAACCGGGCCUUUACCGACACUUUUCUUCCUUGGUUUAGGGAACCAGUGGUACAGUAUUUAGGCCCAAAGUCUCAGCUCUGUGCUUUUGAGAUAUGAAUUUUUCACCGUGUUCCACCUAAUAGCAUCCCUUUAGAAGUACAAAUUUAGGGCCGGGCGCGGUGGCUCACGCCUGUAAUCCCAGCACUUUGGGAGGCCGAG